GGUUGUGGCUCAAUGGUAGAGUACUUGCCUAGCACAUGUGAAGCACUGGGUUCAAUUCUCAGCACCA
Molecule: transfer RNA, 67 nt
Filed under: Marmota monax (woodchuck)
Lineage: Eukaryota; Metazoa; Chordata; Mammalia; Rodentia; Sciuridae
Description: tRNA.Ala
Source: RNAcentral